UUGAACGCUGGCGGAAUGCUUUACACAUGCAAGUCGAGCGGCAGCGCGGGGGCAACCCUGGCGGCGAGCGGCGAACGGGUGAGUAACACAUCGGAACGUACCCAGUUGUGGGGGAUAGCCCGGCGAAAGCCGGAUUAAUACCGCAUACGACCUGAGGGUGAAAGGGGGGGAUCGCAAGACCUCUCGCAGUUGGAGCGGCCGAUGGCGGAUUAGCUAGUUGGUGGGGUAAAGGCCUACCUAGGCGACGAUCCGUAGCGGGUCUGAGAGGAUGAUCCGCCACACUGGGACUGAGACACGGCCCAGACUCCUACGGGAGGCAGCAGUGGGGAAUUUUGGACAAUGGGCGCAAGCCUGAUCCAGCCAUGCCGCGUGAGUGAAGAAGGCCUUCGGGUUGUAAAGCUCUUUCGGCCGGGAAGAAAUCGUGGUCUCUAACAUAGGCCAUGGAUGACGGUACCGGACUAAGAAGCACCGGCUAACUACGU
This 482-nucleotide ribosomal RNA is filed under the name uncultured bacterium. RNAcentral's name for it is "bacterial SSU rRNA". It matches the Rfam family "Bacterial small subunit ribosomal RNA", at positions 29 to 506 of the family's 1533-position model. The record is from RNAcentral.